Molecule: ribosomal RNA, 481 nt
Filed under: uncultured bacterium
Lineage: Bacteria
Description: bacterial SSU rRNA
Rfam family: Bacterial small subunit ribosomal RNA
Source: RNAcentral
UUGAACGCUAGCGGGAUGCCUUACACAUGCAAGUCGAACGGUAGAGGGGGCAACCCCUCGAGAGUGGCGAACGGGUGAGUAAUAUAUCGGAACGUGCCCAGUCGUGGGGGAUAACGUAGCGAAAGUUACGCUAAUACCGCAUACGAUCUACGGAUGAAAGCGGGGGACUCGCAAGAGCCUCGCGCGAUUGGAGCGGCCGAUAUCAGAUUAGGUAGUUGGUGGGGUAAAGGCUCACCAAGCCAACGAUCUGUAGCUGGUCUGAGAGGACGACCAGCCACACUGGAACUGAGACACGGUCCAGACUCCUACGGGAGGCAGCAGUGGGGAAUUUUGGACAAUGGACGCAAGUCUGAUCCAGCCAUGCCGCGUGAGUGAAGAAGGCCUUCGGGUUGUAAAGCUCUUUCGGCUGGGAAGAAAUCGCACAGGCUAAUACUCUGUGUGGAUGACGGUACCAGCAUAAGAAGCACCGGCUAACUACGUG